GGCUGGAUAGCUCAGUUGGUAGAGCAUGAGAUUCUUCAUUCCAGGGUUGUGGGUUCAAGUCCCAUGGUGGGUG
Non-coding RNA from Podarcis lilfordi (Lilford's wall lizard), 73 nucleotides. The record is from the annotation of a GenBank genome assembly. Lineage: Eukaryota; Metazoa; Chordata; Lepidosauria; Squamata; Lacertidae.